RNAcentral lists this unclassified non-coding RNA (211 nucleotides) under Hevea brasiliensis (rubber tree). The record is from RNAcentral. Lineage: Eukaryota; Viridiplantae; Streptophyta; Magnoliopsida; Malpighiales; Euphorbiaceae.
UUUUUUUUUUUUUUUCUAAUCCAAAGUUGUGAAUAAACAGAGAAUAGAAAUCAAAGUUACAAUGGCAUCAUCCCAUUUUUAAAAAUCAAUAGGCUUCAUGAAUGACGGGACCAAUAUCAUUACAAAAUUCCAUUUCUUGAUGCUCAAAAGUUAAUUGCUACUUAACGAGUUUAGUAAUCACCAUUUUAAUUUGUAAUAAAUGACUAAAUAG